This 393-nucleotide ribosomal RNA is filed under the name uncultured bacterium. Its description in RNAcentral is "bacterial SSU rRNA". It matches the Rfam family "Bacterial small subunit ribosomal RNA", at positions 96 to 524 of the family's 1533-position model. The record is from RNAcentral.
UGGCAGACGGGUGAGUAACGCGUGGGAACCUACCUUUCGGUACGGAACAACAGUUGGAAACGACUGCUAAUACCGUAUACGUCCUUCGGGAGAAAGAUUUAUCGCCGAUAGAGGGGCCCGCGUUGGAUUAGCUUGUUGGUGAGGUAACGGCUCACCAAGGCGACGAUCCGUAGCUGGUCUGAGAGGAUGAUCAGCCACACUGGGACUUAGACACGGCCCAGACUCCUACGGGAGGCAGCAGUGGGGAAUAUUGGACAAUGGGCGCAAGCCUGAUCCAGCCAUGCCGCGUGAGUGAUGACGGCCCUAGGGUUGUAAAGCUCUUUCAGUGGUGAAGAUAAUGACGGUAACCACAGAAGAAGCCCCGGCUAACUCCGUGCCAGCAGCCGCGGUAAU